Molecule: ribosomal RNA, 447 nt
Filed under: uncultured bacterium
Lineage: Bacteria
Description: bacterial SSU rRNA
Rfam family: Bacterial small subunit ribosomal RNA
Source: RNAcentral
AGCGAACGCUGGCGGCAGGCCUAAUACAUGCAAGUCGAGCGCACCUUCGGGUGAGCGGCGGACGGGUGAGUAACGCGUGGGAACGUGCCCUUUGGUACGGAACAACUGAGGGAAACUUCAGCUAAUACCGUAUGUGCCCUUCGGGGGAAAGAUUUAUCGCCAUUGGAGCGGCCCGCGUUGGAUUAGGUAGUUGGUGAGGUAAAGGCUCACCAAGCCUACGAUCCAUAGCUGGUCUGAGAGGAUGAUCAGCCACACUGGGACUGAGACACGGCCCAGACUCCUACGGGAGGCAGCAGUAGGGAAUCUUGCGCAAUGGGCAAAGCCUGACGCAGCCAUGCCGCGUGAAUGAUGAAGGUCUUAGGAUUGUAAAAUUCUUUCACCGGGGACGAUAAUGACGGUACCCGGAGAAGAAGCCCCGGCUAACUUCGUGCCAGCAGCCGCGGUAAU